AUGAGAGUAGGCGGGGUGCAGGGUAGGGACCAACUGCGGCGCAUGGGAGCAAGUGGGGUUCUGGGUAGGUACGCGCGGCGGCGCAUGGGAGGAGCGGGAGGGGUUGAAGUCCAAACCCACCUCGCCCUGAAGGAAGGGGCCAGCCUUGCGCCGGAAGGAGGCGGGGGCGACGGCGUGCUAGGAGGAGGUGGGGGCAGCGGCCUUGCACCGGAAGAAGGCGACGGCGUGCUAGGAGGAGGUGGGGGCGGCGGCCUUGCACCGGAAGAAGGCGGGGCGGCGGCGCGUCGGGAGGUGGCGGGGCCGGCGGUGCGCCCGCUCGCCCGAAAGGAGGAGGGCCCCGGGGGCGCGUCGGAGCAGGGUGGGCGGCGGCCGGAGGUGGUUGGCGGAUUGGGGGAGGUCGCAGGGGUAGGAUGGCGACGGGAGGGACGGAGAUAA
Molecule: ribosomal RNA, 435 nt
Filed under: Triticum aestivum (bread wheat)
Lineage: Eukaryota; Viridiplantae; Streptophyta; Magnoliopsida; Poales; Poaceae
Description: partial small subunit ribosomal RNA
Source: RNAcentral